GUUGGUGAACCAGCGGAGGGAUCAUUAUAGAGUUGUAAAACUCCCUAAAACCCAUGUGAACAUACCUGUUGCCUCGGCGGGCCUACCCUAUAGUUCUUCGGAGCUACCCGGGAGUGACCGCCGAAGGUCCAAUAAACUCUUUUAUCUCUGUAUCUCUGAGCAAAAAAACAAAUAAGUUAAAACUUUCAACAACGGAUCUCUUGGUUCUG
This 209-nucleotide unclassified non-coding RNA is filed under the name rhizosphere metagenome. RNAcentral's name for it is "partial ribosomal RNA internal transcribed spacer region". The record is from RNAcentral.